UCCUGGCUCAGAUUGAACGCUGGCGGCAUGCCUUACACAUGCAAGUCGAACGGCAGCGGACCUUCGGGUGCCGGCGAGUGGCGAACGGGUGAGUAAUAUAUCGGAACGUACUUUCAGUGGGGGAUAACGUAGCGAAAGUUACGCUAAUACCGCAUAUUCUGUGAGCAGGAAAGCAGGGGGAUCGCAAGACCUUGCGCUGAUUGAGCGGCCGAUAUCAGAUUAGCUAGUUGGUGAGGUAAAGGCUCACCAAGGCGACGAUCUGUAGCGGGUCUGAGAGGAUGAUCCGCCACACUGGAACUGAGACACGGUCCAGACUCCUACGGGAGGCAGCAGUGGGGAAUUUUGGACAAUGGGCGCAAGCCUGAUCCAGCCAUGCCGCGUGAGUGAAGAAGGCCUUCGGGUUGUAAAGCUCUUUCGGCCGGGAAGAAAUCGCACAGGUUAAUACCCUGUGUGGAUGACGGUACCGGAAUAAGAAGCACCGGCUAACUACGUG
This 493-nucleotide ribosomal RNA is filed under the name uncultured bacterium. Its description in RNAcentral is "bacterial SSU rRNA". It matches the Rfam family "Bacterial small subunit ribosomal RNA", at positions 17 to 507 of the family's 1533-position model. The record is from RNAcentral.